This is a long non-coding RNA of Manis pentadactyla (Chinese pangolin), 6152 nucleotides long. RefSeq lists it as uncharacterized. The record is from RefSeq and is a predicted model, not a curated record. NCBI's taxonomy places the organism in Eukaryota, Metazoa, Chordata, Mammalia, Pholidota, Manidae. The transcript is spliced from 4 exons.
CUCUCCCCCUCCCGCCCUCGCCGCGCACUCCUCCUAGUAACUUCUGUUCGGGGAGGCGCUGCCAGGAAUAACCCGGUGCGUCCACAGACCGGGAGGGGAGGCGGCCGCUGCGGCUCCCGCACGCAGACGGCCGCGGCCCUGGCCUCGCGGCUCCUUCCCGAGCCCGGCGGCCCUCGCCCCGGGCCCAUCUCCGUACAGUGUCCGAAAAAUAAAUAAAGGCAAGCGGAGCCUGGGCAGGCGGUCGGGAUCUCUUCCCUCCCUCCGCGCCCGCCCUCCCUCUGUCCUUAAGGAAAUGCUACCAGACACCCCCCACCAGACACGCUCAGCCUCGGCGAGGAGCGGCAGCCGCGGCAGCGAGAACAAGGGCACCGGGGGGGUUUCCUCGCCCUCCUCUCCCUCCUCUUCCUCCUCCUUCUCUCCGUCCUCCUCCUCCUUCUCAGCGGUGACUUUCCAGGUGAGCAGCCGCCGCUGCUGCGAGGAUCCCCUCGCCCGCUCGGGCUCGGGCCGCCGCGUCCCGCCCUCCUCCCGCCCCUGUCACCCGGCGGCGGCUGGGAGCUGACAGCCGCCUGAGGGGCUCGCGGCCCGGAGGCGGGCGGCCGGCGGGAGGCGGGCUGGCGGUGAGGGGGUGGAGAGGAGGCAAGCGGGGCGCCUCCGAGCGCUGUCUCUCCGCACCGGAGGAGGGUCUGCACCUAAACAUCUUCGGUGACUGUGGCACAAGUCUUUGCCAAGUUGUGUCUUGGACGUUCAAGCUCCCAGGAGCCCCGAACAACUUGGAGGGUCUCCUGGCUCGUUGACAGUGUUCCUACACGUCCCGAUUUGAGGUGCUGGGUGCAGCCCUGGGGUGCGCGGAGGGCUGGCUGACCACCCGGGAGAGCAGAGCGGCAGGAUCUAGGUCCCUCGGCUCGGUAAGUGGCCUAGGCGCGUUGUUUUUUCCUGCCUCCUCCAGCGCUGGGAGCCUGUUUCACUUUAUGCCGAAAUCGCCUCCGCCGGACGCCUUCGCUCUCCCGGCGCGCGCCCCCGGCCCCUUCCUGGUGUCCCCAGGGUGAGGGUCGGAGGGGGCGGGGACGGGGGAGACCUCGGGAGGGGGGCUCGGCGCGUUGGGAAAUGCGGGGAAUACCCUGGCCGAGGAUCUAUGCAGAUGAGGUGAGGCUGCUUUGCGUAAUGUCCUUGGGGGAGGGGGCAGCGCGGGAGCGCCGGAGGCAGGAAUGUGCCUGCUUGCUAAUGAGGGACGUGCACCGGCGCGCACCGCCCGGCCACCGCUGCGGCUGCCGCGGCCGCCGGCCGCCCGUCGUCAGGUGGAGUCUUUGAAUUUUUAGAAAGACAGUGGUAAUAAGAUCUACUUGAAAAAUUAAGUGAAUUGAUUUGAUUGGAACACUCACCAAUUCUGUAACAUUCGGCUGCUAGAUUCCCAGAAGUUGUGCGUGAGUUCCUGUGGGGAGAGUUGGCAUUGUGGAAGGCAAAGACGGCUGGGAUGCAGUUUUUUGAUAUGAGGAUAACAGAUAAUGUUAUUCUAAGCAAAAGAUCCCAGGAUACUGUGGGCCUUUAUUCAUCUGCAGAGCAAGCCUGCCUUCCUGCCAAUCCCACCCAGCUGUUAUCCUGAAGAGACCUCUGUCGAGGCCUAUACGAGAGGCUGUUUCUAUGCCUUUCCUCUAAAGGUCUGCCUGAGGAAAUUAUUUAACUGGGUGUCAAAUUUAUUUGAGUGGGACUGUGAAGAGUGGCCAAGCGAGAGGACAUGUUUAGGUAAAUGGCAAGUCUUCCAUGUAAUAUCUUUAUCUUCUGCUCAGCCCCUUUCAUUCCAUUACCCCUGGUAUAGCCACACAGAGGGUCGUAUCUUUUUCAACACUACCCCUCUCGGGAAAAUGUGCUGAGCCAGCUGGACAAUGCCUGUCUUUACUGACCCAAGACUCCUAUGGGCUGGAGCACUAUCCACAGGAACCUCAAAGCCAUAUCCUCCAGCAACGUAUUCUACUCCCUGCAUAGCACUCAAGGACAGGAGGGAAAAUUUUACAUGUGAAUGUAGAACUGUGUUUGGAAUACCGGUCCUUUGUUGGCAAUGAGGCCAAAAAUGACUGUGUGGGUUUGGUUACCAUAAAAAGAAAUCUCAGAGAAUGAUAGGAUAGCUGACUCUUUUCUCUUAUGUGAGGAUUGCUCUGAUAUUGCAUUUUUUAGCAUGCUAAUUGAUUGGAAAAACUGGGAAUUUACCUCUGACAUACAUUUAGAGAAUAUGGAAAAUGAAUCUACACAGUUGUAAAGAAAUAAUGUAGCUAUAAUUAACCACAUUACUAUAGCUCUUUAUAGCAACAAGCAGAUCUGCAAUGAGAAAAUUAACCUAAAAUUGCAGGUUUUACAAAGGUAAAUUUGCUGGUUUGUAAUUUUAUGAGGUCCAAAGAAACUGUGUCCCUAUUGACAAGCAUUUCCAUACAUUUAAGUAAUAAAACGCAACGCAGGGAAUUAUACCACUGUUGGUAGAGUUAGAUUGCUAAGUAAAACUAACACCUAGCAAAAAAGCCAAAAGUCAUUGUCAUCUCUUGGAUUAAACAUUGAAAUCCUUGAGGUUUUUAAAGUGCAUUUUUUCUGUAUAACUUAAGAAGAGCAGCAAAGAGACUUUUGAACACUCCCACAUCCUGCUUGGUUUUUUAAAGAGACAGACCCGUCCUGCCCAGUUACAGAUGUGUAUGGUGCACACAAUUUACACUGCAGAAACUUCUCAGUUUCAAGAUACAGCAACUGUAGACAGGAGAUGAACAAAAAGAGUCCACAUUUGUAAUGGUUCACGAAGAUGAUCGGAACCCCUGAAGGACCAAUUACUUAUAUUUUUCUCCCAUCUGCCUUAUCUCUAACUCCUCAAAAAGUGCAAGAAGGAAAGGGAUUUUUACCGGUAGCAGUUAGUUGAAGACUCUCCAACAGUAGUGGUGGAGAGAUUAUGAUAUCCACAAACACGUUUAAAAUCUAAUGGAAAGGUUCAUGUGGAAUAAGAAUGAUUUCCAGUUGCCUAGUAACUCAACUAUCACUCAACUAUCAUUCUCAAGCCUAUCACUGAGGUGAAAAUUCAGACCGUGCAGUUCAGAGGGAUGUAGAUCAGAGGGACCGUGGAACUGCUGGGACUUGGAGCUCAGACACAAAGACAGAAGGUGCUCUUCCUGAACGACCAGGAGUCAAGGAGCAUAGCUCCGGGUAGCAUCUUAAUUUCAUGAUAAAAAUUGUAAGACAGCUUAGGUAAGCUUGUCCUAGAAAUUUAAAAGGAACCAAUUUAACUGACAGAGCAUUUUGCAUAAUUGAGUCAAUGCGGUUUUUUUACUGAGAUCAAAAUUUAGGAUUAAAAGUUUUCUGGAUAAUGAAUGCUAUUGAAACAUAGGAUGAGCCUACAUUAAUAUCAGCAAAACUGAUUUUUUAAAUAAAAUAAUAGAUAAGACUUUUUCUGAUAGCUCCUUCUCCUAAAAUUUAAACCCAACAACAGUUAACUAAAUGGUCUAGGUAAUUUUUGUUCUGACCAUUAAAUAUCUGCUUUUGAAUUUUAUGUAAAUCACUUUUCUUCAUCUUGUGGUCUAUUCUUUAAUAUUAUUGUCUUUGUAUAAAUUUAAUUCAGUGCAUCUCUGUCUUAGGAUGUGCCCCUGUGAAUAGGAAUUACGUAUCCUAUUUAAGGUGUAAUGGUUUUAAUUUAUUACUGUAAACCAUAAAAAUUAAAUAAAUCUGAUUAUAAAGGUAUUACCUCAUUGCUAAAUGAAAUCACUGUACUCUAUUUAACCAUUAAAUAUAUUAUUCCAAUGCUCUUUUUCAUAAAAUUGUAUGUACUUGUUCAGCCUGAAAUCUGUAUUUUAAGCAAAAGAAAUAUUCUAUGUAAAGCAAUGAAUAGGAAGUGAUCUUACACCUAAUUUUCAUUUGUGAGGCUCUUACAUUCCUUAGAAGUAAUGCCUUUUAAGGUACAAAGUUAAAAAACUGUCUGUCAUGAGAAUUUAUCAUGUUCUCACAAGGAACUGUACUCAUUAAUGCUUUAAAAUACAGAUUUUGAACAUUAUCUAAAUUAAUGGAUUUGUUUGAUUUCUAAGAAACAGCGUUUAGGGGCAAUUUUUUAUGCUACAGCCAUGCAAGACUCAUAUAUUCUCCCAGAACCAUGAAAAAUUCAAUCAUUGGAUAUAUUAAAGUCAAGUGAAAAUAUUUAGGAGAAAGUAUUAUUGAAGAUGUCUUGUUUUAACUUGCGAUAAAACUGAACAGUAGAGUAGAUUGAGCAGUGAGACCUCGUAGGCUUAGAGGUCAGCCAAAGCUGGAUUAGAUUCCGGUACUAACACUCAGCCUCCCUAAGGAUCACCCUCAGAUGUCAAAGAGGUGUAAUAAAACUUAUUGCAUAUCAAAUAAGAUCAUGUAUAUGAAGCUCUAGUCCAGUGUAUAGCAUGUAGUAAAUGCACAAUAAACAACAGCCAGUGUCACUGUUAUUACUAGCAAUGAAACUGAAUACAUAGAUCAAUUCCAUGAUAAAAUAUUAAAUAUGAAAAGUAACUUGGAAAUUAUUCAGUUUAAGCUCCAGUUCCUAGUUAAGGAAAGACUCAUGCAUGUUUCUGUCUUGAAUUGGAAAUACACCGUACUUCCAUUUUAGACAGUGUUAUUCACCUCUGAAAGUAUGACAGGGUUUGUAUCUACAGGAACCUUAAAGGUUUAGUUAAUUUAAAAAAAUUCAGCUAAUAUGGGUUUGACAUUGUGGACUGUUUUUGUUAGCAUGGUUGCUGGAGCUGAUCUAAGUAAAUUUGCAUUGAAGCGUUAGAAAGGUCUCACUUCUAUUUCAGUUUUUGUCUUAGUACCUAUAGGAAGAAGCAUAGGAAAACACCGGUGGGAAGGGGGGGUAAAAUUCAAUUCAAUAGUAGAACUUUAAACAAACUAAAGUUAAUACGCUUGUUUAGUUUUCUAGUGGCUACUUUACAAAUCUAUGGCUCUCACAGAUGGAACUUGUGAUGACAGAUGGCUUGCUACAAAUAUCUGGAGACUUCUGUCCUCCAUAUUCUUUUCUCUUCUCUUAGGGCAAUUGCUAUCAUCCUUAUCACUGUAGCGUUCCAUAUUAAAGCAAACUGGGCAUGUGCAGCGCAUGUGCACGGUGGCAUCUUUUUUCUUAAUCCAUAUUUUACUAAAAAGAUGAACAUGCACAUGUUAGGAAAAAUAAACAAAAACAAGUAUCACCAAAAGUGAUAAAGUGAAAAGUAGAAUUCGCUUCCUGCCCCUUCCUUUGACUCCCUAGUUCUGCAUCUGUGAUUGAGCUGCCAUUAAAAGCUGUUUGGCAUCCUUGCAGAAAUUCUGUUUAUUUUCUGUUUCUCAUUUACACAAAUGGGAUUAUUCAACACAUCCAAGGGUGCAGUAGCUUCUUUUUGACAUUCAAUGUUACUAUCUUUUGGGCAAGUUUCUAUGUCUGCACUUAGAGCUGUACUUCAUUUUUUUAAAUGGCAGAGAUAUGAGGUAGCCAUACUUUAUUUAAGCAAUCCUUGCACACAUGUGCAGGUACAUCUAUAAGGAUACAUUUCCAGCAAUGAAAUUUCUGGGCCAAAGGGCAUGAGCUUUCUUACUUUGAUAAGCACUGCCAUACUGCUGAUCAAAAAACAUCUCAGCUUUCAUUAGAGCUGGUGCACUUGAGCAUUGAAGUUCUUAGAAUUCUCUGGCUACUACACUGGCUAUUUGCUUAUGGAUGCUGAAUAGUGACUUAAAAUCUUAAUUGUUUCUAAGUUGUCAGAUUUUCCAGAGCUAUUCACAGUCAUCUGGAGGACUCCUUUAUUUGCUUCUUUAUUUCCUAAAAAGGAAGUUUAUUCGUUUAAAUGUUCAAAUCUAUAGAUUCAAUAAAAACCCCACUGUUCUCAACUUUUUAUUGCUGCAGAGUUAGAACCAGGCUAAUUAUUUUUUAAAAAUCUAAGAUGUUUUGAUAGGAAAAUCUUAUAUCUUAGAAAAUCAUACUGCGAAGUUUUUGUAACUUCUUUCUCUUUUGAGUUAUUUUUGGACCCAGUGUCAAAAUAAGGUUUACUGCUUUAGUGUAGUGUGUUCUAAAGCAGUAACUUCCUGGGUUUUCUUUAGGGCAUACAGCAUUGUGAACCCCAUAUACAAUGAACUUCAAAUUGUCAUUUGUAGAGAGCGAUAUUGUAGUUUAAUUGAACAAUUUUUCCUAACUGCACUUAUUUUCU